Long non-coding RNA from Colossoma macropomum (tambaqui), 1239 nucleotides. RefSeq lists it as uncharacterized. Lineage: Eukaryota; Metazoa; Chordata; Actinopteri; Characiformes; Serrasalmidae. The transcript has 5 exons. The record is from RefSeq and is a predicted model, not a curated record.
ACGUAGAAGCUUUCGUAGGGCCCACUGACGCACAGGAUAACUAAAACCACCCCAGUGUUUUAAGGUUUAAGGUUACCGUGCUCUAUUGGCUGAUUGUUGCGGCUUAGUAAUUCAUUAUUAUGAAUUAUUUAUUUAUUUUUUAUCUUUUGCAGUUCUUUACAUCUGAUUAUGUUUACAUGCAAGAUCCUCCACCCAGUCCUCAGUGCCCCCUCAGUGUCCCAUAUGUUUCGUGCUGUUCCAAUUUAGUUCUGUCUCACAGUAAUUUCCUUAUAGUGUGUUACAUAUACAUGGUGAUACAGGAUCUGCCUUUUUUCCUUGUGCUCUCUUCUAUUCCACAAAAAAAUGUCCCAUAUCCAGAAUGUCCUUAUGGAACAGGUCCUUAUGGAGGUCAUGACUAUCAGCACCGAACUGGGACCAGUGUCCUUGAAAAGCACCAGACCUUACUGAUUGUUCUCUCCAUGACGCCACUGAACAUACUAAACCAACAGCACAGAUUUUGUCUAGAACAUAGUGUUAUCAGGGCCUACCCACCAGGAUUGUAUUAAUAAGCUUGUGUUCAUUAGUAGUUAAGGUGGGAAUCCUGCACACGUCUUAAAUCCUUCAGAACUGAGGAUGUCAGAAACCAGCUGAUGAGGAACACGACAAAUGGUCAUGAAAGGCAAAGAAGACGUCCAGUCCACCUGCACCUCCACUUCAAUCUCCCGUCGAGACCCAUCCUCCACUUCCUGCUGAGCCCCACCUUCCACUUGUUCAGGGUCCCGCUCACUCUCAAAGGCUUCAUUGUCCACACCCAGGGAGGUCACCGGCACCAACCCAUUCUGCAGCAGACAUCAGUGACUUAUAUCAAAGAAGGGGUGCAGGAGCUCACCAAGUGCUGGUUGUCGUAGGUCUCAAUCAAGUCUUCAUCUUCUGUGAAAGGUGGUGGUGCUUUGUCAUCCUGCAUCUGUGAAAUCUGGACAUUGGAAGAGGUGCAAGAGGUUAAGAUGAGGAAAAGAUUCUCAAGCAUACAUUAACAACUCAGAGAAUGGCAUCAUGAACAGAGAGGAAGAGCAGGCCUCUGUUCACCACCUCAUCAAAGAAACCCAUGGACUCCAUCUUCAUGAUGAUGUCAUCUGCAAGAAUUAUAACUUAGGAAACAGUUAUUUUGAGGACCCACCAGUUUUAGAGACUUCGCAGCCAUUACGUCCAGGAAGGAGACAGAAGUGAAAUCCAUCACCAAGCUGUGGAUGUUGACUUUAG